UAUCAAUCUAGGUGAUUUCUGUAUGGGUAAGGAGAGGAAUAAUUUUUCCAUCAUCUUUCAAAAACAAAUAACGUAAUAAUACAGAAGUAACUCACUCGCCCCGUGUGUCAGACACAGCGCUUCGGUAAAGCCGCAUCUUUUCUCCAAAAGUCACCGUUAAUUCUCCUCAUAACGGUAAACAGAUCAUCACGUUCCCGCGCGCUCUCCGAAGAAAUAAACCUCGCGCGCCGCCCGAUCUCUGACUGACGUUAGUGUUUACGUAAUGACGUGUUUAAGAAACACAUUCAUAUUCCAGAUAAUAACACUACAGUAAUAUAAACUACUGACACUCUUGUUUUUGAAUGAUAUUAGUAUUAUUAUUUUUUCAAAACAACCUCAAAACAAAGCGCAAAUUAAAUGCGCGCUGUUCCAAAAAAAAAAAAAAAAAAAAAAAGAAAAAGAAAAAAAAAAGCGCGCGAGCGGCUCGAGUGUGACGUCACAGCGCCGCGGCUAUAUAAAGCCCUGCUCAGGAUUCUAACGGCAGACGCGGAUCUGGUUGAGCGAGUGUUUCGAUCACUGACCUGAACUCUUCAGAUUCACGAGAUUUACACACACAGUCUUUUCAGACUAUUCACAGUUUACACACAUUGUGUCAUCAGUAUAAUCAGAGGAUGUCUACAACAGCUGAGCGCAGAGAAUCUGAGCGUGUGCCUGUGGCUCGAGCGGCCUGGGCUUCGAGAGAAUCGAGCUUCGAGAGAAUCGAUCUGAACGAAGAAAUGAAGCACCGCUCAGCAGACAAAGGGAAGAAGGUGAAAGCGGUGCGUGUCUUCCUCCAGAAGCUGUGUCCAGACAGAGUGCUGCGUCUCUCAGCACAGACGGACGCUCAUCUGGACCACCCCGAGGUGACGGCUGUCCCGGGUCCCUCGGCCGCUCCGGAGCUGCUGUGUCUGCCGGGUCAGGUGUGUGAAGAUCCGGAGAUCAGAGAGCCAACGCUUCGUCCGGAUCCAUCCGCUCUCAGCCUCGCUCACAAUGUGAGGAAGAGGAGAGCAGUGUGUGUGUUCUUCCGGAGAGCGUGUGAGUGUGUGAAGCAGCUCUUCCCCUGCUGUGACCCGGACAGAGUCCAGCCUCCUAAAGCAGAGCCGGACCUGGACCGACCCCAGCUCGUUCUGCCGGAGCAGGAGCUCCAGUCGUCUCCUGAGGAAGAAGCUCCCUCCGAGAUCCAGCCCCACGAUGCAGUGUCCGGUCCAGUGUCCGGUCCAGUGUCCGGUCCAGUGGUCAGUCCAGUGUCCAGUUCGGUGUCGAUCGGGUCAGAAACAGCACCGGACACAGUGUUGCCUGAUCCAGAAAUCCAGCUGCCUCAAGGAUCCAUCGUGUCUUUGUUUGAAGUGGGACAUCUGAUCGCGUCCGGGAACUUCAGCAAGGUCUACGAGGGGACACACAUAUUCAGCGACAAAGUGAAGGUUGCUCUGAAGUGUGUCCCCAAGCGCAGAGCGGACCGCUACCUCGACAUUGUAAGCUGGCUAAACCUGAAGAAUAUUUGGUGUUUGAUAACCUGUAGCUGAAGACGGUUGUUGUGUUGGUCUCUUCUCAGCCUGGUCACUCCAGACCGGUGCUUGCUGAAGUGGCUCUGAUGCUGCGGCUGGGAGAAGCUCCCUCGUGCCCCAACAUCACGGAGCUACACCAGUGGCUGGAGGACGAGAGCAGCUUCACUCUCAUCAUGGAGUACCCUGAACCCUGCAGGACCUUGGAGGAUUACGUCUUGUUCUCCGGCCCCGUUAGUGAAGCACAAGCACGCUUGUUCAUGCUUCAGGUGCUUCAAGCAGUCAAACACUGCCAUGAGCGUGGAGUUUAUCACGGUGAUAUCCGCUCGAGGAACAUCCUGGUGACUCUCCACAGUCUGGAGCUCAAGCUCAUCGACUUCCGCUGCGCUCGUCUGAUCAGCAGCGAGGGCUUUGACAGCAGCCAGUACCAGGGAUCAGACGCAUACACCCCUCCUGAGGUCCUCGGCCAGUCCAUCUUCCACGCCGCAGCAGCAGACGUCUGGGCGCUGGCAGUCCUGCUCUUCGAGAUCAUUCACAGAUAUCUGCCCUUCGAAAGCUUUGAUGCCAUUCAGCACGGCUACGUCCGGAUGGAUCCCACCUUAUCCACAGCGUGCCAUGACCUGAUUUUCCACUGCUUGAGCCGAAAUCCAGCUCACCGGCUGACGCUCCAGCAGCUGGAAGAGCACCGCUGGAUGAAGGCCUAGACUGGAGAAGACAGGGAUCCCGAUGUGCACCAGACAGAGUUUACUGUCUCCAGGAGUCUCAGGAGAUGCAGCGAGACUCUGGACUCGUCUCUGAUCGAUCAAACACAGAGAAACACAAGAACGUGCUGUCUGGAGAAAUCAGGAAGAUCAGAAGAAAUUCUACAAUUACAAAAUCAGAAGUGCAUGUAAACACAAUGCUCUUAAUUAGUGCUUCACAAAUUAUUAACGUAAGGAAUAUAAAAAAACUACUUUUAUAUAAUAUUUUAGAAAGUAAAUGUAUUCACUAAUUGGUUGCUUAGUCACAUUAAUGUAAAAAAAAGGAAAAAAAAAAGGAAAAGAAGCUAUUUUUAAAUAAUAUUUCAGGAAGUAAAUCCUUUUUUUAUAAUAUUUCAGAAAGUAAAUGUAGUCAUUAAUUGGUUUAUUAGUAACAUUCACAUAAGAAAUGUAAAAAAAAGCUAUUUUUUUAAUAAUAUUUCAAAAAGUAAAUGCUAUUUUUUAUAAUAUUUGAUCAAGUAAAUUCUAUUUUUGUAUCAUAUUUCAGAAAGUAAAUGCUAUUUUUUUAUAAUAUUUAAGUAAAUAUAGUCACUAAUAGGUGCUUUAUUAGUGACAUUAACGUAAGAAAUGUAAAAAAAAAACUAUUUUUUAAUAAUAUUUCAGAAAUUAAAUGCUAUUUUUUU
Molecule: long non-coding RNA, 2901 nt
Organism: Cyprinus carpio (common carp)
Lineage: Eukaryota; Metazoa; Chordata; Actinopteri; Cypriniformes; Cyprinidae
Source: Ensembl